UACGGGGGGAGCAAGCGUUGUUCGGAUUUACUGGGCGUAAAGGGCGCGUAGGCGGUCAGCACAAGUCAGUUGUGAAAUCCCCGGGCUUAACCUGGGAACUGCAUUUGUGACUGCAUAGCUAGAGUACGGUAGAGGGGGAUGGAAUUCCGCGUGUAGCAGUGAAAUGCGUAGAUAUGCGGAGGAACACCGAUGGCGAAGGCAAUCCCCUGGACCUGUACUGACGCUCAUGCACGAAAGCGUGGGGAGCAAACAGG
RNAcentral lists this ribosomal RNA (254 nucleotides) under uncultured bacterium. RNAcentral describes it as "partial 16S ribosomal RNA". It matches the Rfam family "Bacterial small subunit ribosomal RNA", at positions 524 to 776 of the family's 1533-position model. The record is from RNAcentral.